Molecule: transfer RNA, 85 nt
Filed under: Felis catus (domestic cat)
Lineage: Eukaryota; Metazoa; Chordata; Mammalia; Carnivora; Felidae
Rfam family: tRNA
About the family: Transfer RNA (tRNA) molecules are approximately 80 nucleotides in length. Their secondary structure includes four short double-helical elements and three loops (D, anti-codon, and T loops).
Source: Rfam by way of RNAcentral
GCCUGGGUGGCUCAGUCAGUUGAGCAUCCGACCUUGGCUCAGGUCAUGAUCUCACAGUUUGUGGGUUCGAGCCCCGCAUCAGGCU